RNAcentral lists this ribosomal RNA (493 nucleotides) under uncultured bacterium. RNAcentral's name for it is "bacterial SSU rRNA". It matches the Rfam family "Bacterial small subunit ribosomal RNA", at positions 61 to 565 of the family's 1533-position model. The record is from RNAcentral.
UUCGAACGGUGAACUCGGGCUUCGGCCCGGGGAUCAGUGGCGAACGGGUGCGUAACACGUGGGCAACCUGCCCCAGACACUGGGAUAACUCCGGGAAACCGGGGCUAAUACCGGAUACUCCGGUCGAACCUCAUGGUUCGAUCGGGAAAGCUCCGACGGUCUGGGAUGGGCCCGCGGCCUAUCAGCUUGUUGGCGAGGUAACGGCUCACCAAGGCGACGACGGGUAGCUGGUCUGAGAGGACGACCAGCCACACUGGAACUGAGAUACGGUCCAGACUCCUACGGGAGGCAGCAGUGGGGAAUCUUGCACAAUGGGCGAAAGCCUGAUGCAGCGACGCCGCGUGGGGGACGAAUGCCUUCGGGUUGUAAACCCCUUUCGGCAGGGAAGAAGCGCAAGUGACGGUACCUGCAGAAGAAGUCCCGGCUAACUACGUGCCAGCAGCCGCGGUAAGACGUAGGGGACGAGCGUUGUCCGGAUUCAUUGGGCGUAAAG